RNAcentral lists this long non-coding RNA (4270 nucleotides) under Homo sapiens (human). RNAcentral describes it as "non-protein coding lnc-KLF7-1:23". Lineage: Eukaryota; Metazoa; Chordata; Mammalia; Primates; Hominidae. The record is from RNAcentral.
GAAGGCGGGCUGAGCCCGGCGCCGGGAGGAGUGGUCUAAACUCCACCGCGGCUUUCGCAUCGGAGACGUGUCUUUAGGAAGCAGAGAGGGUUCGAUUCUGGACUCCGCCCAUGACUCACUUCUCUUGUAAAGAAAGAGUUGUCCUUCCUGGUACUCCAGGUUUAUGGGAUGCAGGAUAAUGGAGCAUGCUCUAUCUGGGACAUUGCUAGUCUUAUGACAGAGGGAGAAGACAGCGAUGAGUUUUCGAAGAACUCCAGGAAGUGGCUGCAGAGCAAAGUAGGAUCCUGAUACUGGUUUUCUUCAGUGUCGAAAUUGGUAUGGAGACGUGGAUGGAGAUUUGAGUCUUAGGAAUUUGGGAAGAGCUCAAGUGAUUCAGAAUGAAAAGACCUUGGCACAGACCUGUUAAGGAAGCUCCAUAUAAGGUGAAGAAAACAACAUGCUCAGCCAUGUCCUUGCCUUCUGCACACGGUAGUGCAUUCACUGCCUGAGAAUUCAAGGCUAAAACAAAAAGAGGAGCUUUUGUUCCAACAGAUAAGUACUUACCUUUUUCAAAAAAUGCAUAAGCUGUCCUGGGUGUUUAGCAGUUAUUCGCACAGCUUUCCAAAGACUCACAGCAUUUAAAAGCUAACUCUACAGAGAUUCAACAGCUUCUUCCAGAUCCCACCACAGUGGAAAAGAACUCCGGUGUCCUGGCUCCCUGUCCAGCUCUUCUCUCUCCCCUUCCAGCUGCCAGUUCAGCUUUAAGAAGUUCAUUCUCCACAUUCAGAUGCAGGCAAAUGCGUUUGACUUGAGCAUAUUGAUUUCAGGUGCCUACCUUUCCUCCCUGCAAACUGCCUUGAGUUGCCUCCCCUUCUCCCUUCCUUCCUGGUCUGUCAGAGACAUCUUGUCUGGGUGCAUAUUUGAACCCCAUCAGUAGACAGAAAACAUGUAUUUCCUUGAAGGCCCCUCAGACCCCAGGUACAAACAUUGAAGUAAAUAACAGCAGGGAUGGGGGUUCUGCCUCGCUUCACCUGCCAGCCACGUGCAGACCUUGUUUCAGUCCAACUGAGACUUUAGCAAGUGCUUCAUUCUGGUUUGUGAAUGGCUUCCCAGUGUCUGUCACUGUGUUCACAGGGCCACCGGGGUUGGCUGAGUCAGAAUACCAGCCAUGUGGCAUGUCGCAUGGGGCAAGAGCUGUGCUGCCCAUGGGAGUCCAGAGAAGGAGCACACUAAGGACCAACACCAGCUCUGCAGAUGAGCAAUAUCAUCACAACUAACCAAUUGAUCAAUUAUUCAUUCAGUCAUUUAAUGAGAAGCUACUGUGUACCCAUCCUUUCCUUGGCCUUCUGGACAGUUAGACAUGGUGCCUGUCUUCAGAUUGCUCACACACCAGUUGGAGACACAAAAGUUACAUGCAGAUACAGAGAGAAGACAGCUGUCUGCAAACCAGAAAGAGAGUCCUCACUGCACUUCAUAUCUGCCAAUGGAUCCUUGCUCUUGAACCUCCCAACCUGCAGAAUCAUGAGAAACAAACAUUGUGUAAGCCACCCACUCUACAGUAAUUUGUUCUAGCAGACCGAGCUGACUGAGCAUUUGCUCUAGGGGAAGCCUGCAGCUAUGUCAUGAGGACCCUCAACAGCCCUGUGCAGAGGACUAUGUGGCAUGAAAGAUACCUUCUGCCAACAACCAGCCCCAACUUGCCAAGCAUGUGAACAAGCUAAACUGAAAGCAGAUCUUCAGCCCCAAUCAAGCCUUCAGAUGACAGUAACCUCAGCCAAUAUACUGACUAUAACCUCAUAAAAGACCCUGAACCAGAACCCUCUAAGCCACUCUCAAACUCUACCCCACAUAAACUGUGAAAUAAUAUAUGUUUAUUGUUAUUUUGGGCCACUAAGUUUAGGGGUAAUUUGUUAUGCAGCAAUUAUAUAACCAAUAUUCCAACUAAAGCUGAAAUGCCUCCUGCAUUUCCUCCCUCAGUGGCCUACACUACAAUCCAAGUUCAGGAAAAAACGAGAACCUUAUUUAAGGUAGUGGCAAGAAAUGAAUGGAUUAACUGGACAUUUAAAAAGUAUUUGAUAGAACUUGGUGAUAGGAGGUGGGGCAGUUAGGGACUAGCAGGAAUUUAGGAUGAGAGGCUCAUUCAGUUGGGCUUAUGUUUUACUGAGGUCAAUUCCAAAAGGAAGGAAAGAAAAAUCCAGCCAAAUAACCUUUAAUGGACUAAGUCUUCUUUCAUAAGUCAGUUUGCACAACUUCUUCACAGGAAUCAGAUUUUAAAUAUCAUAACUGAAGAGAAAAAAAACAGCAAGAGGAGUUUACCUUUAUGGUGGAAUGACACUAAUCUUUCAUGCUUUCAAAUUUCUUGAAAUUUCCUUCGUAUGCAUUAUCUUAUUUGCUGUUCACAGUAAAACUGUGUAUUGGCUAAGCCAGUUUUUAUGAAAAUAUAAGCAGUGAGAAAAAGUAAGAUAGUAUGUCAGUUAGUAGAUUUUUUUAUGGACAUUGUGACAGAGGACACAACUUAAACUGGCUUUUUUUUUUUUUUUUUUUUUUUUGAGACAGAGUUUUGCUCUUGUUGCCCAGGCUGGAGUGCAAUGGCACGAUCUCGGCUCACUGCAACCUCCGCCCCCUGGGUUCAAGUGAUUCUCCUGCCUCAGCCUCCCGAGUAGCUGGAAACACAGGUGCCUGCCACCGCGUCCGGCUAAUUUUUUGUAUUUUUAGUAGAGAUGGAGUUUCACCAUGUUGGCCAGGCUAGUCUCAAACUCCUGACCUCAGGUGAUCCACCUGCCUCAGCCUCCCAAACUGCUGGGAUUACAGGUGUGAGCCACCGCACCUGGCAAAAGGGUUUUGUUUCUAAAGGUACAAGAACAGGUACAGCUUCGGGUCAGUGUGAUUCAGCCCUCAACAAAGCCACCAGGAUCCAUUUCUUGGCUCUGCUUCAUUGCUUCUCAUAGGCUGGCUCAUUCUCAGACUGUACGUGAUAUGGUUCAGUGGCUUUAGGCUCCAAGCAUGACAACACCCAACACUCAGAUUGAUGGAGCUAGAGCAAGUCUCUUCAGGCAGCGUCUAGGAAAGUUCUGAAAUUCACUCUGAUUGGCUGCCCAUCUCUGAAUCAACCACGUAACCCAAGGAAAUAGGAACUGCUGAUGGGUCAGGGUCGGUUCACAUGCUUCAUACCUGGAGCUGAGAAGACAUCAACUCCAUCCUGGAGCUCAUGGGCUGUGACUAGAGCAGACGGAGUUCUCAGAGGAAAGUCAGAGUACAGUUAUCAAAGCAAGCAGUUACAGAUGCUAGAUGACCAAAAUCCAAUAACUGCCCAGUAAAAAUAUUAUACUAAAAUCUAGGAACAUGUGGCUGAUGGACAGUCAUUACCAGGAAAAAAAAGUUGUUAGGUCUAAAUGUAAAAAUUGAGGCAAAGAAAGUGCCCGAGCUAGAAUUAGAACCCUGACUACCUGAAUAUUAGAUCGGUUAGUGCCACUUCUACCCUACCGCUGCUGAGGGGGGAGGUGAACAGUCUCUCAGGUUGCAGACAGUGGAUGGUUUCCCUCCCUCUAUCUUCUCAUUUCAUGGUGGAGCUGAAUCAUCCUAUGUUCUACAUGCUGACAGUGGAAGGUUAUGACCAUACCCAUAUCCUGUUGUCUCUGAGUCUCCUGUGGUGCAGAGAUCCCUGAGACUUGUAGAACAGAACCUGAGUGGAAAGUGGGAGGGGGAUUGGGGGUGGUUCCCACGAAUCAAGCAGCAACCUGGAGACAAGGAACACCUGCAACCUCAGCAGUGGAUCAGAACGGCUGACUGAGCAAUGGACAUACUGUGCAUCUUUCAUUAGUGCUGAGACCAACUUCUAGCUUGGAGUCCCAUGAAAGGGAAACUUAGCCCUAACACCACAACAAGGAGCACAGUGUCAAGUGGGGACAUUGCAGCAGAGUUGCCGCAAAGACUCUGAAGUGCUAUGGGAAGGGAUAUUUCCUAGGAGGGGUUAAAGGGAUUCUCCUUAAGAAGGGGGCUGGGGGAAUCUGAGUAAGAGGUGGGGGAAAGCAGCCAAAGCAUGAUACUUAGUCAUAGCAUCACAAGAAUUUGACUCAGAGUUCCUACAAGGUUGUCCUAAAAUGCCCUGGUUCAGGUGGGUCAGCUUUGAAAGCACCCAAAUUACCCCGUUUUCUGUACUAUGUUUAAAGGCAAUUUGAAAGAAAGACCCCUAAUUUGGAAACAUGUGCUAAGGCUAAAUCACUUUUUCAACUGAAAAUUCUUUUUUAUGUAUUGUUACACUCCAUUUUCUGUCUUGUGUUUUUUGUUGUUG